Molecule: ribosomal RNA, 515 nt
Filed under: uncultured bacterium
Lineage: Bacteria
Description: partial 16S ribosomal RNA
Rfam family: Bacterial small subunit ribosomal RNA
Source: RNAcentral
GAUGAACGCUGGCGGCGUGCCUAAUACAUGCAAGUCGAGCGAAUGGAUUAAGAGCUUGCUCUUAUGAAGUUAGCGGCGGACGGGUGAGUAACACGUGGGUAACCUGCCCAUAAGACUGGGAUAACUCCGGGAAACCGGGGCUAAUACCGGAUAACAUUUUGAACCGCAUGGUUCGAAAUUGAAAGGCGGCUUCGGCUGUCACUUAUGGAUGGACCCGCGUCGCAUUAGCUAGUUGGUGAGGUAACGGCUCACCAAGGCAACGAUGCGUAGCCGACCUGAGAGGGUGAUCGGCCACACUGGGACUGAAACACGGCCCAGACUCCUACGGGAGGCAGAAGUAGGGAAUCUUCCGCAAUGGACGAAAGUCUGACGGAGCAACGCCGCGUGAGUGAGGAAGGCUUUCGGGUCGUAAAACUCUGUUGUUAGGGAAGAACAAGUGCUAGUUGAAUAAGCUGGCACCUUGACGGUACCUAACCAGAAAGCCACGGCUAACUACGUGCCAGCAGCCGCAGUAA